AACGAACGCUGGCGGCAUGCCUAACACAUGCAAGUCGAACGAGACCUUCGGGUCUAGUGGCGCACGGGUGCGUAACGCGUGGGAACCUGCCCUUAGGUUCGGAAUAACUCCCCGAAAGGGGUGCUAAUACCGGAUAAUGUCUUCGGACCAAAGAUUUAUCGGCUUUGGAUGGGCCCGCGUUGGAUUAGCUAGUUGGUAGGGUAAAAGCCUACCAAGGCGACGAUCCAUAGCUGGUCGGAGAGGAUGAUCAGCCACACUGGGACUGAGACACGGCCCAGACUCCUACGGGAGGCAGCAGUGGGGAAUAUUGGACAAUGGGCGAAAGCCUGAUCCAGCAAUGCCGCGUGAGUGAUGAAGGCCUUAGGGUUGUAAAGCUCUUUUACCCGGGAUGAUAAUGACAGUACCGGGAGAAUAAGCUCCGGCUAACUCCGUG
Molecule: ribosomal RNA, 433 nt
Filed under: uncultured bacterium
Lineage: Bacteria
Description: partial 16S ribosomal RNA
Rfam family: Bacterial small subunit ribosomal RNA
Source: RNAcentral